Molecule: ribosomal RNA, 301 nt
Filed under: uncultured bacterium
Lineage: Bacteria
Description: partial 16S ribosomal RNA
Rfam family: Bacterial small subunit ribosomal RNA
Source: RNAcentral
CAGCCGCCGCGGUAAUACGGAGGGUGCAAGCGUUAAUCGGAAUUACUGGGCGUAAAGCGCACGCAGGCGGUCUGACAAGUCAGAUGUGAAAUCCCCGGGCUCAACCUGGGAACUGCAUUUGUGACUGUAUAGCUAGAGUACGGCAGAGGGGGAUGGAAUUCCGCGUGUAGCAGUGAAAUGCGUAGAUAUGCGGAGGAACACCGAUGGCGAAGGCAAUCCCCUGGGCCUGUACUGACGCUCAUGCACGAAAGCGUGGGGAGCAAACAGGAUUAGAUACCCGGGUAGUCCCUGUCUCUUAUAC